RNAcentral lists this long non-coding RNA (1207 nucleotides) under Monodelphis domestica (gray short-tailed opossum). RNAcentral's name for it is "lncRNA (ENSMODG00000048284.1)". The record is from RNAcentral. Lineage: Eukaryota; Metazoa; Chordata; Mammalia; Didelphimorphia; Didelphidae.
UUUUGCUAUAUUUUUAGCUCCUGAAAUGGAUUUGAGAAUGCCAACUGUAAUUCUUUUCAUUAUGAUUUGUUUGUUUCUACAAUGGGAUAGACUUUAAUGAUACAUAUUCUAGGAAAUUAUUUUUCUUGUCACCUAUGGACAAAAGAAAAAGCCAAUUAAACAGUCAAUUCCUUAUUGCCCUUUCUAAAAGGCAGUCCUUCUUCAAUUUAUCUGAAGCUUGUUUUUGUUUUCCAUUUUCACAUACUUCUAGUUGAGGGAUUCUUAAUCUGGGAUCUGGAGAUCCUUAAAAUAUCCAUGGAGAGAUUUCAAGAUGUCAGUAAGCUUGUAUGGAAAAAAAUUAUAACUUUAAUUCACUAUAAUUGAUUUUCUUUGUGAUUCUAUUUAUUUUGUUUCAUGUAUUUAGAAACGGAGGUGGAGUUAAAAUGGUGGCUUAAAGACAGCAACAGUUCAGACCUCUGCAAACCCUUCCUCACCAAUCAAAAACAAUGCUUCAAGGUGCCUGAAAACCAAAUGUAACAACAGGACAGAGCUAGGGAACUCUCCUCCUGGACCAAACUUAAAAGGAUCUUGGCCUGGGACUGCUGCUGGAGCUACAACUUGGACCUGGGACUCUGGAUCUUGGACUGCUGCUAGUAAGACUGCUCCUGGAUCUUCUCCCUUUGGAGCUACUGCUUGGGAGAAUGGUCCAACCAAAAAAGGAAGAAAGAAAAAGGAAGGAAGGAAGGAAGGAAGGAAGGAAGGAAAGAAGGAAGGAAAGAAGGAAGAGAAAGAGAGAGAAAGAAAGAAAAAAGAGAAAGAAAAAGAGAGACAAGAGAGAGAAAGAGAAAGAGAUGAAGAGUAAAAGAGAGAAUGAGAAGGAAAAAGAUAAGAAAAGGGAAAACUAUUCAGAAUAAAGGAAGUCAUUUUGAUCAGAGGCUGCAUGCAGUAAUUGAAGACACUGCUGAUGAUUUCAUGCAAUCAGAGUAGCACAUUAUUUGUGAUGAAAAUUAGGAGAAAGAAGGAAAGAGAGAGAGAGAAGAAAGGAACAAGAAAGACAGAAAGAAAAGAAAGCAAGAAAGAAAGAAAGAAAGAAAGAAAGAAAGAAAGACAGAAAGAAAGAUAGAAAGAAAGAUAGAUAGAAAGAAAGCAACCAAGAUAGAAAGAAAGCAAAGACUCAAGCAAGCCAGAAAGACAGCUAGAAAGAAAGAAAGAAAGAAAGAAAGAAAGC